CGCAUCUGUGCAUGCAGCAUAUCAAUAAGCGGAGGAAAAGAAACUAACAAGGAUUCCCCUAGUAACGGCGAGUGAAGCGGGAAGAGCUCAAAUUUGAAAUCUUAAAGGGUUUCCCUUUACGAAUUGUAGUUUAAAGAAGUGUUUUCUGUUGAGGUUUUGGUAAAAGUUCUUUGGAAUAGGACAUCAUAGAGGGUGAGAAUCCCGUAUUUGACCUUUACUUUCAACUUUGUGAUACACUUUCAAAGAGUCGGAUUGUUUGGGAAUGCAGUCCAAAAUGGGUGGUAAAUUUCAUCUAAAGCUAAAUAUUGGCGAGAGACCGAUAGCGAACAAGUACCGUGAGGGAAAGAUGAAAAGAACUUUGAAAAGAGAGUUAAACAGUACGUGAAAUUGUCAAAAGGGAAGCGUUUGACACCAGUGUUGUUUUUCCUGAAAAUCAAUUAAAGAACUGUUUAUGCUAAGUUGUUUAGACUUUAUCAGCUAAUCUGCUUAGUUUUGAGCUUUUCUUUAAUGCACUUUUCAGGUUAACAAGUCAACAUCAAUUUCUUUUGCUGUAAAAAAGCUUGAGGAAGGUGGCUUGAGAUUCGUCUUAAGUGUUUAUAGCCUCUUGCCUAUGCAGUCGGAGAGAUUGAGGUCUGCAGCGUAGAUCCUUCGGGGCUAAAUGCAUUUGUGCUAAGUUAUAGCAUUUUAUAGACAACUUGUUGACUAUGAUUUGUCUUGUAGCUUACUCGCUUAUGUUAUUUUACCUACGCUUAGGAUGUUGAGCGCAUGUCUCUCUCU
This 777-nucleotide ribosomal RNA is filed under the name uncultured Neocallimastigales. RNAcentral describes it as "partial large subunit ribosomal RNA". It matches the Rfam family "Eukaryotic large subunit ribosomal RNA", at positions 26 to 637 of the family's 3401-position model. The record is from RNAcentral. Lineage: Eukaryota; Fungi; Neocallimastigomycota; Neocallimastigomycetes; Neocallimastigales.